RNAcentral lists this long non-coding RNA (5256 nucleotides) under Sus scrofa (pig). RNAcentral describes it as "lncRNA (ENSSSCG00000043206.1)". Lineage: Eukaryota; Metazoa; Chordata; Mammalia; Artiodactyla; Suidae. The record is from RNAcentral.
GUUGUGAUCAUUUCUGCUGAAAUAGAAAGGUUGAGAAGAGGAUUUCUUCUUUGGCUGCCAACUUUCAGGUUUCAUUUUUUUUUUGUCUUUUUUUUUUACAAUACGAAUUUAUUUUUUUAUUAUUAAAGUAUAGUUGAUUUAUGUUUCAUCAAGUUCUGUUGUACAACAAAGUGACCCAAUCACACACAUUUCCCUGUGCUGUACAGUAGGAUCCCAUUGCCUAUCCAUUCUGAAUAAAACAGUUUGCAUCCAAAAAAAAACAAAACCCAAAUGCCCAUCCAUCCCCUCCCCUUUCCCCCUUGGGAACCCCAAGUCUGCUCUUCUUAGCCAUGAUCUGUUUCUGUUUUUUGUUAUUUUUAGAUAGAAUCUUCUGUUCCAUACUUUAGAUUUCACAAAUAAGUGAUAUCAUAUGGUAUUUGUCUCUCUCUCUCUGACUGACUUCACUUAGUUCGAGAGUCUCUAGAUCAUCCAUGUUGCUGCAAAUGGCAUUAGUUUGUCUUUUCUGUGGCUAAUAUUUCAUUUUAUAUAUGUAGCACAUCUUCUUAAUCCAUUCAUCUGUCAAUGAACAUUUAGGUUGUUUCUAUGUCUUGGCUAUGUGAAUAGUGCUGCUAUGAACAUAGGGGUGCAUUUAUCUUUCACAACAAAAGUUUUGCCCAGCAGUGGAAUUGCUGGAUCAUAUGGUAACUCUAUAUUUAUUUUCCCGAGGUACCUACAUGCUGUUUUCCAUAGUGGUUGUACCUAUUUACAUUCCCACCAACAGUGAAGAAGGUAUCUUUUUGUCCACAUCCUCUCUAGCAUUUGUUAUUUGUUGACUUGUUAAUGAUGGCCAUUUGACUGGUGUGAGAUGGUACCUCAUAGUAGUUUUGAUUUGCAUUUCUUUAAUAAUUAGUGAGGUUGCAUUGCCUAUUUGCUGUUUUGGGGGUUUCACCAUAAGAGUAUCUGUGGGAGCUCUUGCUAUCCUUAUGGAAAUUCCCAGUUGUAGUGGAAUUUCCCAAGUGUAGAGACAUUUUCUCAGAGAACAGGAAAUUUCUCCAAAGCAGAAACCUUGAAUCUCUAGAUUAUGUGACAGGGAAAUUGAAGAGGAGAUCCCUGCUUUGCAUGCAAUUUCAAGCCUUAUCUUACUCUUUCCAAAGAAGGAAAUAACUUUUCUAAAAUGACUGAGGAAAGUGGCCACAUUAGAGCCAGGUCUCUGUAGCAUGGUCAAGGAAUCCUCUUUACUAAACAGUAUUUGGUCUGAACUGAAUUACACACUCACCACAUGAGCUGAGCAGUAUCCUGCCAUAACCCUGGUCCACUUGUGAUUAAAAUUCAGAAAAUGAGCAGAUUAGAACACUGCCAAGAGGGAGUCGAAUUUCAUGCAAAAAAGUAAACAGUGAAAUGUAUUUUCUUAAUUCUGAAUCUGAGCAUUUCAUGUUAUUCUUGUUUACUUUUAAAUAGUUUCAUAAAAUUGUUAACUGUUAGUAUUUAAAUUUUAAAUAUUCUAAAGGACAAAUACCAUGUAUCACUUAUAUGUGGAAUCUAAAAUGUGGCACAAAUGAAUCUAUCUAUAGAACAGAAACAGACUCAGAGAACAGACUUGUGGUUGCCAAGUGGGUAUGGGGGAGGGAAUGGGAUGGCCUGGGAGCUUGGGGUUAGUAGAUGCAAACUAUGACAUUUAAAAUGCAUAAGCAAUGAGAUCCUGCUGUACAGCAUAGGGAAUAUAUAUAGUCUCCUGAGAUAGACUAUGAUGGAAAAGAAUAUUAAGAGUAUAUGUAUGUAUAACUGAGUCAUUUUGCUGUAUAGCAGAAAUUGGUACAAUACUAUAAAUCAACUACUCUUUAAAAAUAGGCUUGGCAACAGGCAUUCACAGGAAAGAAAAUUUAACUAUCUUAUAAGUUGACUAAAGCAGAGCUUUAAGGAUUUCUUUCCCGAGAUAUCACCUUGCUUAAGCUUCAGUAUGCCAACACUGGCACAAAUAAAGUUCUGUAAGGGAAAACCUAAUCAAUAUCAAAUCCUUAAUCAGUUAUGUUAAAUGAAGUCAUUUCCUUCUUGGUAAUCAGGUUGGGUGCAUUUAUAUUCAUGGUCAUUUUUUUUUAACAUGGAAGAGAGCUAGCUAGGAUUCCCAGUCUGUAUGAAAUACAUAUAUUGAAGGUGGGGUCAUUAAGGGAAAAAUCUUUUCUCCCUUGAGUUUCAUGGGCUAGGGUGAAGGAAAACAUUGGCCAAUAUUCCAGGAUAGAUGUGCAUGGGCAUAAAACUUGCUCAACCCUUGGGAAUACUCUUUCAUCACACUGAUGACUCUUUUCAAUAGCAGAAGAAAAUUAGACUGCAGCCACACUCAUCUCUUCAUGUGAGCCGUAGGCUGGAGCUAUAUUAAUCUAUGGAGGGCCUGAGCUGAAUUGAAGUCACGUGAACUUUGAUGUCAAAUGACUGGCUCUUGCCCCUACUGACAAACCUUUCUAAGUGUGCAGAGAUGUGUCCCCAGGAUCUCAUGCCGAAUGUGCAGGACACCACUGGAGGCCCUGUAGACAUGGAAAAAAUUAAACAACAGAGCAGACCCCGAAGAUAACAUUACAAGAAGUGAUGUUUGAAAUGACUGGCAAGACAGUUUAAAAGUCUUAGUAGAAAUUCUAGGUUUAUGGACUUCUCUGUGGAUCGAGAGAUCAUAUGUACAGUUGAACUAAUGUGGGGGUUGGAGCAUCAACCCCUCCCCAUGCAGUUGAAAAUCUGUGUACAGCUGUACAGUCAGCCCUCCCUAUUCAUGGUUUACACCUUCGAACUUAACCACAGAUCACAUCAUACCAUUUUUUAAAUGUGCUUGUAAGUGGACCAGUACAGUUGAAACCCAUGUUGUCCAAGUGUCAACUGUGAUUGGUUUGGGGAGAAAUAAAAAACCCUGAAUUUAGGAUAGUAUUUCUCCAUACCCACACCUAGGAAGGAAAAAGUAUUUAAAGUUCAUUGAGGAAAAGAUUUUGAGACACUAUUGAGAUAGAGGAAGCUUAGGAGAGAGCUUUGGGAGGACACAGACUCAGCAGGGCUUUACCUGACACCCCUGGAGCCCAGUGGAGGCCAGGAUGUGGGCACGCUCAGGUGACAUGUGGGAGGGCACUGCACUCCCAGAAAAGCCUGAGAGGCUAUAGGACCUUGGAUCAGAGACUAAGUGAUUUGGAGGGAGGGAGCAGGGUUCCAUGAGCUGCACAUCUGCACAUUCUAGGGGGUGGGGGAAAGAGCAUCAGCUGUGACCAAGAUGAAUUUCCUGCUACUCAGUGGGAAGAAAACUUGAAACAUAGGAUUUAGGUUAACAAUGGAAUUAAUUAUUCCACUGGUGAAUUUUUCUUUUUAUGCCCACAUCUCAGAUCUCUGUGAGACCUCUGUCAAUACCUCAAUCUUAUAUUCUGUGUAAAACUCUGUUCACUCAAACUGCCUAUGGACUCAGUGGUCAAAGUGAUAUGAGAAAUUAUAGUUCUGAAUCAUCAACUGCCUAGAUGUGUGACCUCCCAUACUUUACUCACCCUUUCUAUGGUAUUGUCCUUAUAUUAGAUAAAAGAUCUGGGAGAGUUUUCUAGAAACAUGUGCUCUGGUCUUUACUUGUAUCUCCAAUCUUUCUUCCUACCACCUCCUCCAAACUUGACCUUUGUCAUAAUCCACACACAUCACAAUAGUGUGUGUGUUACUUUGAGUUCCUUGCUCAGCCACCCCCACUCCUAGCCUCUGCAAUAGCUAUUCCCUCUCAGGGACAGUUCUAUUCUCAAAGAUCAUUCUUGAAUGGCUUCUUCUUGACAAUUAGGCUAUAACUCCAACACAUCACCCCAGAGGUUUUUCCCUAUUUAUACUGGUUCCCCCCAACUCCAACAUUCAUGGUCACUUCUGCUACCAUAUCUUUUUUCUUGAUUUUACUUAUCUUCCUUUAAAAUAUAACUUACAUGAGAAUGAGGACCUCACCAUCACAUCCCCAAUGCUUAGAAAGUUGAAUGGCACAGAAAUUACCAAAUAAAAGUAUCCAUUUCAUCUUUAAAAUUCAACAUCAGUUAAAGAUACUAAUGUAAAGUCAUUAAACCACACAGCUUAAUUUUUAAUUUUGGAUGUGGUCUCACACCCACGUGAUCACAGCCCCUUGGUUUGCUGUCUACAACUACUGUGGCUCUGUUUCUAAAUAUCCUACUUGCCUUUAUUUGGAAAUGAUUUUAAGCAAUGAAAUUAAGGUGACUGUAAAGACCUUUGUUUGCUUUUAACCAUGUGAAUGCUACCAUUUGUAAGGAAGUUUAGAUUUGUUCCAAGAGGAACUAGUGGUGAAACUGCAGUCCAAGGAGUAAAAGAGGCGUUUUGACUCAUCUAUGGGAAGAAGUUUCUAAGGGUCAGAACAGUGUUUCAAGGUACUAAGUGCUGAGUUUUUAAGGACAAAAGCAGUGAUCAUGGUCUGCUGUGCGUACUUGGAGAAGGAAACAUGGAGUGAGAUGUUGAAAGAGAACAUUUAAGGGUCAUUCCAAAGCUACACUCCCAGGGACUCUGUGCUUCUUUUAUAUUAGAGUGCCACAUACAUUUUUAUGAAUAUUUUUUUCACUGUUCAAAAGACCUAUCAUGAACAGCUUGCUUCCCCUUUACUUAAUGUUUUCUCAACAUGCCUAAGCCAUCAAAGAGGCUUCAUGAAGUAACUAAAUGCUUCUGUAACUUUGAAUCUUGGGGAAAAAAAAGACACAGCAUAUAUUAGCCAAAUGGUGAGACAGAUGUUCCAGAAUGGCAGUGCUCAAGGAGGUGAUUAAAAUGCCAAAUAGCAUCUUACUGUCCCUUGAACGGAAAUAUCCUUGAAAACUGUAGUGCACAAAUAUUUUGAGGGAGAAUAAUAGUGAAUAAUGUUGUGAAUAAGCAACAUAAAGUAGUAUUCUUGUCUUGUAUAUUGUUGUCUUAAUGAGAAUCCCUAUUUUCCUGAACAUAGUAGGCAUUCAACAAAUUAGUGAUUAAAUGGAAAAAAAUUACACAUGCAAAAACUACAGUGGAGAUGUAUGCAUAUAACUCAAUCAAAAUGCAAAUGUGGGAGUUCCCAUCAUGGCUCAGUGGUUAGCGAACCCGACUAGCAUCCCUGAGAUGUGGGUUCGAUUCGUGGCCUCAUUCAGUGGGUUAAGGAUCUGGUGUUGCCGUGAGCUGUGGUGUAGGUUGCAGACGAGGCUUGGAUCCCAUGUUACUGUGGUGUAGGCUGACAGCUACAGUUCCAAUUAGACCCCUAGCCUGGGAACUUCCAUAUGCUGCAGGUGGGGCCCUAAAAGACAAAAACAAACAAACAAA